Long non-coding RNA from Xiphophorus couchianus (Monterrey platyfish), 859 nucleotides. RefSeq lists it as uncharacterized. The record is from RefSeq and is a predicted model, not a curated record. NCBI's taxonomy places the organism in Eukaryota, Metazoa, Chordata, Actinopteri, Cyprinodontiformes, Poeciliidae. The transcript is spliced from 4 exons.
CAGAACUUCACUUUCUUUAAGAUUCUUCAGCUGCUGAACAUCUGAAUCCUUCAGGUUGUUUCCUCCCAGGUCCAGUUCUGUCAGGUGGGUCGGGUUGGACUUCAGAGUUGAGGCCAAAUAAUCACAGCUGAUCUUUGACAAACUGCAGCCACUCAAUCUGAAUAAAGAAUAAAAUAUGUGAGCUGAAGCCAACAGGAUGCAGGUUAAAACUGAAACAUGAACAAAUAAAUAAUAAAAAUGUAGAAAAUUAAUUUCCCUGAAUGUAAAAGAAACAUGAUGAACUGAUUCUAACAUCUGAUCCAGUCAAACUGGUUUAAAGAGUCCAAACCAGCAGAACCAGAACAUUUGAUCAAUAAAUAAACUCAAAGUUUUCUAUCAGCCUGGAUGAGUUGAGCUAUUUCUGCUGGUUCCUGAUCAUCAGCUGGAGACCCGACUUGGUAACUGGAUCAGAACCACUCAGUUUGUUCAUUAAUGGCCUUGGGUUCUUAUUAAAGCUGCUGAAAGCCAAUGGAGGCCAUUAUUUCCUAAGGAGACGUGACCUGAUGAAGCAUCAUCACAGAGACGAGGCUCCAACCGACUGACAGCUGUCAGACUGAAGAGGACGGUUCCUCUCUGACCCGGCCCAACAGAACCACAGCUUCAGGACAAAGCUGAGGAACCUGCUGCUGCUGCAAACCUCACUUUCAUUCAUUUCAUCUAGAUUUGCUUUUCUACAAUCAGUCAUUUCUUAGAUUUGGUCAUUAAUGAUGAUUUGAACUUGUCAGUGUUUGUGGCUCGACUCUGGAGGAACAACAUUUCAUUCUGGAUGUAAAGAUGAGAAUCAGAAAUGAGAAAUAAAACAAUCUGAAUCUUUACCAAA